AAUGCGGGAUCUGAGCCGCGUCUGCAACCUACACCACAGCUCAGGGCAACGCCGGAUCCUUAACCCACUGAGCAAGGCCAGGGAUCGAACCCGCAACCUCAUGGUUCCUAGUCAGAUUCGUUAACCACUGAGCCACGACGGGAACUCUGUCUGGGUUCUUUUUUUGGCGGGGAUAAGGAAGAUUUCGACCACCAUUUCAACUUCUUUAUUACUUUUUUCCCUUUUCAAGUGAUCUGCUUUUUUCACAGAAUGGUUUUGGCAUUUUAUAUUCUAAGGAAUGUAUUCAUCUAUAUUUUCAUUCAUUCAUUCACUUAUUUAUUUAUGUUUAGGACCACACCUGCGGCAUAUGGAAGCCCCCAGGCUAGGGGUUGAAUCAGAGCUACAGCUGCUGGCCUAAGCCACAGCCACACCAGAUCUGAGUCAUCUGUGACCUACACCACAGCUCUCGGUGACGGUGGAUCUUUAACCUCUUGAGCGAGGUCGGGGAUCAAACCCAUAUCCUCAUGAAUACUAGCCAGGUUCUUAACCCACUGAGCCACAACGGGAACUCAUCUAUAUUUUCAAAUUUACUACAUGUAUUUAUUUUUUGGCCAUACCCGCAGCAUCCCUAAGUCCCUAGGUCAGGGAUCAAACUCAAGCUACAGCAGUGACCCGAGCCAUAGCAGUGACAAUGCCAGAUCCUCAACCUGCUGCACCUUCCCAGGCUGGGGGUCGAAUCCGAGCUGUAGCCGCUGGCCUACAUCACAACUACAGCAAUGCAAAAUCUGAGCCGCGUCUGUGACCUACACCACAGCUCACGGCCAUGCCGGAUCCUUAACCUACCGAGCGAGGCCAGGGGUCGAACCCUCAUCCUCAUCGAUACUAGUCAGGUUUGUUACUGUUGAACCACAAUGGGAACUCCAAGUUUCAUUUCUGUUGAUGUUUGUAUCAGUAUCUCGGUUCCAUUCUCCUCUUGCUGGACAUUUGGGUGGUUCCUAGGUUUUUAGUUGCUAUGAAUGUACACACAAGCCCUUUUGUUGGCAUGUUUGCAUUUAUUCGGGGUUCUAAGAAUGGAAUUGCUUGGGCAUAGGGUAAGCGUGUGUUUACCUCUGAAACAGCCAAAGUUUUCCAGAGGGGCUGAAUCAUUGACUACUGCCAGCCAUGUAUGAGGGCUCCUUGUUGUGGGGUUUCUGGAAGCUGGGCUCUGGGGAGUGGGAAGAGGGAAGGGAACGUGGGAGUGUCUCCAGACGAGAGGCCACCCAUCCUGAGAUUAAGGCUCUCUCUGCUGGCUUCUACUCCUACUUCCCCUCCCUCUCCCUGACUUCCUCUCUCCCUGGGCAACAUGCCCAUCCCAGAUGAGCACCAGCCCACCUCUGGGGGCCAUUUUUCUCACCCCAUCCCCACAACUGGUAUGGGGUCAUGUCACAAUGCAUGCUAGCCAGCUGGGAAGGGGCUGGGCCAGUUGCUCUUCCUACACCACCUCCUUGUCUCACAAGCACAUGUGCCUUGGGGAGGGGCGGUUCCUGACCCCAUUUCACAGCCCAGCCCCACAAGGCCCAGAGAGGGCAGCCCCAGCUUCACGUCACACCUACAGUCAGCGUGUACACACAGGAGUACUUCUGAGUCACGGGACUGGACCCAAACGGUGGGGUGUCUCUGGGACCUGGGAUUGGCAGGCUGAUUUCUCCAGCUCCACGCCUCUGGGGUCAUCAUCCCUUUGAGGGCACAAGGCCCACCAGCACCAGAGUGUCCACUGUUCACUUAGAGAGGCCCUGGGGAAUCGUCCCUGGACCCAGGGAGGGCCAAGUACCAUUUAGCCUUGCGAUUAGACAUCGAGUGCAGCUUUGGGGUAGUGAGGCUAGGGGGUGGCGGCGGGGUGUGUGUGUGUGUGUCUCAGUCCUGGCUCUGACCCAGAGGGACUUAAGGUCUGACGGUGCCUUGGCGGUGCUGGAUUUCCUGGUACAGCACAACCGGCUGGACCCGACAAUGGUGAGGGUCUGUGACCAGGACCUUGUGUUUUGGGGUACAGGCCAGGACUCCAUGUUCUGCCCCAACCCCCACAAGCUGGGGAGCGGCCAUGUACCAGACACCGUGAAUGCCACCACUGUCACCCACCUCAGCUUGACAAGGCCCCUUGUCCAUCUGUGUUUACGUCCUUGUGUCUGCGUGGGACAUGAGAGACACUUGCAAGGUGUAGACUUUUUGGCUUUUAUUACAAAAAGAAGGUCAUGAUUCCAGCCCAGUUUUUCAACAAAAGUCACCAAGUCGCAUUCCGACUUGGUCAGAGCCUCUCUGGCUGGGGAGUGGGGCUGGCAGACAGGCACAGGGCCCUGCUCAGACCACCCAUCACUUUAUCAUUCUCCCCUGCCCCAGGCUAGACACCCAACAUUAAGUAGAAGCAGGUCUCCGAGCUGCUCACUGGGCCUCGUUGAAGCGGGUCACCAUUGUCUUGUGCAGCGUCUCCUUGUAGGACUCGGUUGAAGUGACCCCAUAGGAGCUACCUCGGGCACCCAAGCCGGAGCCUCGCACCCGCGUCUGGGCCUGUGUGAGGGAGGCAGAUUCUGUCAGGUUGGCCAGGGGCUGGGGCGACGGUGGGGAGCAGUGGAGGCUGGGGAUGGGACCCUGGGAGACACACCUCAAUGGGAGUCACGAUGCCCUGUUUCUUGCGGCCCAGGCCACUGCCCUCUUUCCAGCCCAUAGC
RNAcentral lists this long non-coding RNA (2680 nucleotides) under Sus scrofa (pig). Its description in RNAcentral is "lncRNA (ENSSSCG00005042973.1)". Lineage: Eukaryota; Metazoa; Chordata; Mammalia; Artiodactyla; Suidae. The record is from RNAcentral.